UACGUAGGGGGCAAGCGUUGUCCGGAUUUAUUGGGCGUAAAGAGCGUGUAGGCGGUUUGGUAGGUCCGCUGUGAAAACUCGAGGCUCAACCUCGAGACGCCGGUGGAAACCAUCAGGCUAGAGUCCGGAAGAGGAGAGUGGAAUUCCUUGUGUAGCGGUGAAAUGCGCAGAUAUCAGGAAGAACACCCGUGGCUAAGGCGGCUCUCUAGUACGGUACUGACGCUGAGACGCGAAAGCGUGGGGAGCGAACAGG
This 253-nucleotide ribosomal RNA is filed under the name uncultured bacterium. RNAcentral describes it as "partial 16S ribosomal RNA". It matches the Rfam family "Bacterial small subunit ribosomal RNA", at positions 524 to 776 of the family's 1533-position model. The record is from RNAcentral.